Thamnophis sirtalis is the source of this 338-nucleotide non-coding RNA. The record is from RefSeq and is a predicted model, not a curated record. Lineage: Eukaryota; Metazoa; Chordata; Lepidosauria; Squamata; Natricidae.
CCUCAGCGCCCGGUUGGUAUCGCCCCCUAGAGGCUGCUAAGGAUUAGUCCGGCGCUUCUUCUAACACCCCUACGGGCAUGUUCGGAAUGGUCUCGUCCUAUAGAAAGUCGAUGUAAAUAGUUCCGGGAGAGACCACUUCGCGGCUUCCUGGAGGGGGGAGGAAGUAGGAAAGGAAUUGGAUACGGGAUUCAUUCUUUGCCUCUUUCCUUUGGAGUCGGUCAAGAUGCACGGACGGUUGAAGGUGAAGACGACGGAAGAACAAGCCGAAGCUAAGCGCCUGGAACGGGAGAAGAAACUCCAGCAGUACGUGACGGUCACCAAGGCCAUCUUUGAGAAGG